This 595-nucleotide ribosomal RNA is filed under the name uncultured Bacteroidota bacterium. RNAcentral describes it as "bacterial SSU rRNA". It matches the Rfam family "Bacterial small subunit ribosomal RNA", at positions 122 to 715 of the family's 1533-position model. Lineage: Bacteria; Pseudomonadati; Bacteroidota. The record is from RNAcentral.
CAACCUGCCCAUCACUUGGGGAUAACCUUGCGAAAGUAAGACUAAUACCCAAUGACAUCCAUAGAAGACAUCUGAAAUGGAUUAAAGAUUUAUCGGUGAUGGAUGGGGAUGCGUCUGAUUAGCUUGUUGGCGGGGUAACGGCCCACCAAGGCGACGAUCAGUAGGGGUUCUGAGAGGAAGGUCCCCCACAUUGGAACUGAGACACGGUCCAAACUCCUACGGGAGGCAGCAGUGAGGAAUAUUGGUCAAUGGGCGAGAGCCUGAACCAGCCAAGUAGCGUGCAGGAUGACGGCCCUAUGGGUUGUAAACUGCUUUUAUAAGGGAAUAAAGUGAGUCUCGUGAGACUUUUUGCAUGUACCUUAUGAAUAAGGACCGGCUAAUUCCGUGCCAGCAGCCGCGGUAAUACGGAAGGUCCGGGCGUUAUCCGGAUUUAUUGGGUUUAAAGGGAGCGUAGGCCGGAGAUUAAGCGUGUUGUGAAAUGUAGUGGCUCAACCUCUGCACUGCAGCGCGAACUGGUCUUCUUGAGUACGCACAACGUGGGCGGAAUUCGUGGUGUAGCGGUGAAAUGCUUAGAUAUCACGAAGAACUCCGAUUG